GAUGAACGCUGGCGGUGUGCCUAAUACAUGCAAGUCGUACGCAUUCCCGUUUUUGAUUGAAGGUGCUUACACCUGAUUGAUAAAACAUCGGAAUGAGUGGCGGACGGGUGAGUAACACGUGGGUAACCUGCCCAGAAGUGGGGGAUAACAUUUGGAAACAGAUGCUAAUACCGCAUAAUAGAUAGAACCACAUGGUUCUAUUUUGUAAAGAUGGCCUUUGUGCUAUC
Molecule: ribosomal RNA, 227 nt
Filed under: uncultured bacterium
Lineage: Bacteria
Description: partial 16S ribosomal RNA
Rfam family: Bacterial small subunit ribosomal RNA
Source: RNAcentral